This 253-nucleotide ribosomal RNA is filed under the name uncultured bacterium. Its description in RNAcentral is "partial 16S ribosomal RNA". It matches the Rfam family "Bacterial small subunit ribosomal RNA", at positions 57 to 305 of the family's 1533-position model. The record is from RNAcentral.
GCAAGUCGAGGGGUAACAGGAAUUGCUUGCAAUUCGCUGACGACCGGCGCACGGGUGCGUAACGCGUAUGCAACUUGCCUCAAACUGGAAGAUAGCCCGGGGAAACCCGGAUUAAUAUUCCAUAGUAUCCAUUCUUCGCAUGUUGAAUGGAUUAAAGCUUCGGCGGUUUGAGAUGGGCAUGCGUGACAUUAGCUAGUUGGUGAGGUAACGGCUCACCAAGGCUUCGAUGUCUAGGGGGCCUGAGAGGGUGAAC